CCACCACUAAGCCAGUGGUGAACUCCACAUACGCAUCCUUUGCUGAGGAUACGGUUAACGGAGCGAAAGCGACGUUCAACCGCAAAAGAAGCAGAGGGGGCUUAGUGGUGGGGUGACUGCGUACCUUUUGUAUAAUGGGUCAGCGACUUAUAUUCUGUAGCAAGGUUAACCGAAUAGGGGAGCCGGAGGGAAACCGAGUCUUAACCGGGCGUUAAGUUGCAGGGUAUAGACCCGAAACCCGGUGAUCUAGCCAUGGGCAGGUUGAAGGUUGGGUAACACUAACUGGAGGACCGAACCGACUAAUGUUGAAAAAUUAGCGGAUGACCUGUGGCUGGGGGUGAAAGGCCAAUCAAACCGGGAGAUAGCUGGUUCUCCCCGAAAGCUAUUUAGGUAGCGCCUCGUGAAUUCAUCUCCGGGGGUAGAGCACUGUUUCGGCUAGGGGGCCAUCCCGGCUUACCAACCCGAUGCAAACUGCGAAUACCGGAGAAUGUUAUCACGGGAGACACACGGCGGGUGCUAACGUCCGUCGUGAAGAGGGAAACAACCCAGACCGCCAGCUAAGGUCCCAAAGUCAUGGUUAAGUGGGAAACGAUGUGGGAAGGCCCAGACAGCCAGGAUGUUGGCUUAGAAGCAGCCAUCAUUUAAAGAAAGCGUAAUAGCUCACUGGUCGAGUCGGCCUGCGCGGAAGAUGUAACGGGGCUAAACCAUGCACCGAAGCUGCGGCAGCGACGCUGAUGCGUUGUUGGGUAGGGGAGCGUUCUGUAAGCCUGUGAAGGUGGCCUGUGAGGGUUGCUGGAGGUAUCAGAAGUGCGAAUGCUGACAUAAGUAACGAUAAAGCGGGUGAAAAGCCCGCUCGCCGGAAGACCAAGGGUUCCUGUCCAACGUUAAUCGGGGCAGGGUGAGUCGACCCCUAAGGCGAGGCCGAAAGGCGUAGUCGAUGGGAAACGGGUUAAUAUUCCCGUACUUGGUGUUACUGCGAAGGGGGGACGGAGAAGGCUAUGUUGGCCGGGCGACGGUUGUCCCGGUUUAAGCGUGUAGGUGUGUGUUCCAGGUAAAUCCGGUUCACUUUAACACUGAGGCGUGAUGACGAGGCACUACGGUGCUGAAGCAACAAA
This 1115-nucleotide ribosomal RNA is filed under the name Salmonella enterica. Its description in RNAcentral is "partial 23S ribosomal RNA". It matches the Rfam family "Bacterial large subunit ribosomal RNA", at positions 1 to 1597 of the family's 2925-position model. The record is from RNAcentral. Lineage: Bacteria; Pseudomonadati; Pseudomonadota; Gammaproteobacteria; Enterobacterales; Enterobacteriaceae.